Molecule: ribosomal RNA, 201 nt
Filed under: uncultured bacterium
Lineage: Bacteria
Description: partial 16S ribosomal RNA
Rfam family: Bacterial small subunit ribosomal RNA
Source: RNAcentral
GCAGGCUGAAAUUCGCCUGCAUGAAGCCGGAAUUGCUAGUAAUGGCAGGUCAGCAUACUGCCGUGAAUACGUUCCCGGGCCUUGUACACACCGCCCGUCACACCAUGAGAGUUGGGGAUACCCAAAGCCCGUGAGCCAACUGUAAAGAGGCAGCGGUCUAAGGUAGAAACAAUGAUUGGGGUGAAGUCGUAACAAGGUAAC